This is a long non-coding RNA of Hippocampus zosterae (dwarf seahorse), 431 nucleotides long. RefSeq lists it as uncharacterized. The record is from RefSeq and is a predicted model, not a curated record. NCBI's taxonomy places the organism in Eukaryota, Metazoa, Chordata, Actinopteri, Syngnathiformes, Syngnathidae. The transcript has 3 exons.
CGACGUGUUCCUUAGCACAGAGGCGGCAAAAUUCUGGGUGACCCCCACCAAACUCGUCCCAUCCACCUCCACGAUCAGAUCAUUGACCUGGAUCCUGCACACAGCACCACAACAAGUGAUGUCACCACCUCCAAGCACUUCCUGUGGCACGAGAACACGCACCUGCCGUCGCGAUGCGCCGCUCCCCCCUCGGUAACGGUUUUGACGAAGAUGCCAAGCUUUUCCAGGCCCAUGUCGGCCCCAGCGCCCAUCCCGAUGAUGCUGAUGCCCAGGCCGUCCUCGUCUGGGAGUCAAGACAAGCCGACUUUGUUUCAAGCUCCACGGGGAACAGAUCCAGCCGCUCCACCCUCUUCUCCAGCUCAUACUCGGCGGAUGCCGCCAUCGGGUCCACGUCUUCGUUGCGCCUGUCGUAGUCCUCGUUGGGGUAGGUG